Molecule: ribosomal RNA, 4508 nt
Filed under: Triticum aestivum (bread wheat)
Lineage: Eukaryota; Viridiplantae; Streptophyta; Magnoliopsida; Poales; Poaceae
Description: partial small subunit ribosomal RNA
Source: RNAcentral
UCCUCGCGCGCCACGCGUCUUCCUCCGCCCCGAACCCUACACCCCACCUCAAUCCCUCCAGCCGUCGCUGCCCCUCCCACAUCUCUCCUCCAUCCCCCUCCUCUCUCUCUCCUCUCUUUCCACCUCGUCCGCGAGCCCAUCACCCAGCGCUCGCGCGCUUGCCUCCCGGACCAGCCCGCCACCGCGCCGCUAGGGUUCGUCUGCCGCGGAUUUCCACGGGGAAGGAGCAGCGAUGGGGGUAGGCUCUAAGCGGCGCGCACUUCAUGGGGAGGCAAGGAACAAGGAGGUGACGGGGUCGGAUCUGGCGGUGGUAGGUCAGAGCUCGAGCUCGAGGCCGAGAUGGGGAAGGUAAAAAAUAGAGACUGGAUGGAGAUGCUCGAGGCGGAGGACCGCCCGUCGGCGAGCUCGAGCUGGAGACGCACAAUUAGCGUCACCGGCCAUUGGAUGGGUUGGAGCACGAGGCAGCGCUCCUGUCGCUAUGUGGUGGAGCCGCGCAGGAGGGUGAGGAGGUUGGCGACAGGGAACCGGGCCGGGGAGGAGGCAAGGUAUGUGCUAUCCUGUAUUUUUCUCUUUGCAUUUUUCUCCUACUGUGCAUCUAUUUCUGUUCAUUGUUGGAGUGGAUUCAUGGCAACAAACUUUCUAUAAAUAAUAAGUGCAAAGAUAUGUAUGUUGACAAAUGGAUGAGAGCUGUUCAGAGAAAGAUUUGAACCAUACAUGCGACAGGUUCUGAGAGUAUGUAAAAGUAAUUGGAAUAUUUUCAAUUGCAAAUCAUUCCCUAAUAUUAUGGUUAAUUAGUUAGUUCUAGUUUUUGUCCACUGGCACUCACUUCGGAUGUAGUAUGAGCGGGUGCGUCAGGAAGCAGCUCUGAAUAUGGUUCCCGUAGAUGAACAUGCCUUUCUGUUGGAUUUGCUUUUCUUGUUUAAGCAAUCAUUCAGGUUAUCGAAACACUCAUGUGCCUCUUUUCUUCAGUCAUCACUAAUGAUGAGUGUCGUGUGUCUGAUUUGAGGAAAAUGGUUUAGAGUAAUUACUUGUGCGAGGAUCGCUGGGUGGUACCUGAGUGAGAGGGUUCAGAUUAGGGAUUACGAGUAUGAAGUAGAUGUGAUAUAUUGUAACUCUUCUUAUUUGAUUAAUUCAUCUCAAGAGGUCCUCUUUAUGUAGAGAGGCCUAACAAUUCAAAAACUAAUACGUACCUCUAAUCAUCCUUAUAUGCAUACAUGCAUGCGUCACUCUGGAGCCAAAAACUAAUUAUGAGUAUGCAGGUUGAAGUCCCUUGUUCUACAUAUAACUUGCCAACUCUACUAAUUCAUGUAUGAGUAUAUGCAUAUAUGUAGUCCAUUCCCAGCGCAUGUGUUCGGAAUACUGGAUUCUUGUACUUACUCAAAAUUUUCUUUUAAUAGAAAGUUCAUUGGAAGAGAUUGCAAAGUUUAACAAGCAUGUCCCUUUUACAUCUAUUCAUAGUGUGUUUCUUUUGGUUUCACCACAUUUUUAGGUUCACAUUUUUUACAGGUUGCGUAUAGUAUAGGAGGCAUUGGUGAUGAAACAUGAAUGUCCGUUGAUCUUGUCCGCUCUAGAUCUCAGUAGACCUGUGUGAUGUGCUCUUGAUCCUUUCUCUCUUUUCUCGUUAAACGAAUCUCAGACUGAGGAGAGCAUGUUCUUUAAUUAGGUUGCAAUCGUGAAACUUCUUUUGGUUUUUCUUAUUGUACAAUACGAAGCUUCCAAGUUGUUUGGUCCUGGAAAUAAGUUACCAAAUUUCUGUGUGCAGUGAGCUGGGAGCCGGGGUCAUCCCUCUCACUACCAGUCGAACAUACUACGUCAGCCACCAUGUCGAGCGAUAUAAAAGUGUUCUCUAUUUCAUAGAGCAACAACAUGAGAUUAUGCCCCCUCUUGCUCCUGGUGCAUGUUGCUGCCCUCCUUUCUCCUCUUAUUUCACUUGCUUUACAUUGUGUGAAGUUGUUUACUUUCAACUUUACAAAGCUAUAUCCUAUGUUUUAAAGGCGUCCCUAAGGCGACGCCUAGGCGACGCCUAGGCGUCGAAGCGCUCCCCCUCCGCUUUGGAAAAUCGACCGCUUUGGGCGCCUAGGCGUCGCCUAGGCGCCAAAGCGCCCCCCUCCCUAAGGCGGUAAGGCAUCGCCUUAAAAACAUAGGCUAUAUCAAGUUCGCAACUGUAUUUGGCUACACCUAUAACAUAUUGCAUUUCUCUUCCAGUUUAUUGAAUAUAUUUUUAAGGAUUGAAUGUUCUGUCUGGUACUGUCCUAUCACACAUUUAACUAUCUUAAUUUGUUCACAAAACUCCUUCUGUAGUUAAGAUUUCAUUGUACAACACGUACUAAUUAUUGGUCUUAUUCUUAAAUCUUAUUUCACGCUAUUCAGCUGCAGGCUGGGUUAAGAUUGUUUUUGUGCCAGAAACAGACUAGGCAAUGCUCUAACUUGGCAGCAAAAAAUGUCUAAAUUUCAUAAAUAAGGUCGUGGAAUAUCUUUGAAUAAGUUCAUUUGAAUAUCUUGAGUUGACCUGUAUGGGUUGCUUCUGUGCACACUUUCUUUGAUAUGAAUUUCUAGGAGAGAAAUUAUUUCAUGGUAAUGAUGUAUUAUCAAUAUUUACUUUGUUCUUGGCCUAUAGGUUUCUUUUUGUGGGAUGCAAUUAUGGUACCAUAUGAAUAUGAUCCUUGAGUUGCAUAUUAUUGCCCUUUUGGACAUAGACAUGUGCCAUGUAGUACAACAUUUAUAAAGCAUGUAUUGGAAAUUGUAAGUAGAUGAUUACGGUUACCCUGUAAUUUGAGGAGUAAGAUAUAUAUGGUGAUAGAAUCUAGAGAUACUUGUUAAUCUAUAACAAUGAGAUCCAGUCACGUGAAAUAUGUUUUAUUCACAGAAACAGGGAAUCAAUCUGGCUGAAAGUAGUCAUCUUAUGGCGUGGCAUGAAGAGAUGUGUGCAGAUCUGAGAAAGAAGAGGAAUAAUCCAGCAGAAGAAUUUGGUGAAUAAGAACAAGUUGGCAUUUCUCUCUUGUGAACACAGUCAUGCCUGCCUUUUGAUUUUAUUAUUUGUGCUAAUGCAAACAUGAAUUCUCUAUAGUUCUUUGCGCAGCACUGCUAAUUACUCAAUCUGCAAUACAUAAUUAUUUCUGUGAGAAGUUUAGUGCAUGACUUAGCAUUCUGUAAAGUCUGUCUAAGCUCCUGUCUCUAGGCCUAAAUAGAUUUCUCAAUAUCAUUUUUGUUUAAACACUGAACAACAUUGCCAGGUCAACCAUUUCUCAUGUCUUUGUCAUAUAUAUAGGUAUUGUGGUGUCUAAAUUUUGUCACCAGCCUCUUUCACCGACCCAUAAACUAUCUGUCUCGAGGUUCCCCAUCUAUAUUUGGGUUUCGAAAAAAAAGAACUUUUUUUGGACUUAUUUUGCAUUAGCUACUUUGUAGGUAUUAUGUGCAUUGUCAGGGAUCUGAUAUCAUGUAGUUCCAGGGAUUUCAGAAGGUAUGGUCAGUCCAUUGUUUUUGCCAUGUGUUACUUUUUCUCAUUACUGUGAUCAUCAGUGCUCUUGACAUCUGUUGUUCUUGCUUUAUGAUUGUCUUCCCAGUGCACUUUUAUUAGUUCUAACAUAUUAAUUUUAAUAUGCUUGAUUGACCAUAUUAUAUAUUUCACUUCACCGGGGUGGUGGCUAGAAGUGUUGGUUAAAGUAUUUUGGUUAAAACAUUGUCUCUAAUUAUCAAGUUUAUACAGUUGAAUCUUCUUGAUUGACUAUUUUGUAGCCUGCUCUUAGUUAGUAUUAAUUCUUAAAACUGGAUCUCUUAAAAUUAGUUAAAUUUAUGAGUUGUUUCACUGUUUUCAAAUAAGUAGCUUCAGCCCUCACUGUGUCCUGACGAUUAUUCUUACUACCUUUUUAUGAUUGCUUUAUGCUUUAACAAGCUUAAAUAUAACUAUUGGCAUAUAAUCUCAUGGCUUAAAAUCUUAGUUGAGAAUGUAUUAAAAGUUAUAAGAUCUGGAGUUUGCACUAUAUUUCAUCCAGCGGUAUUCCGAGUAACUGAAUGUUAAGAGCAUAGACGAUCAUAGGUUGUACAUUUUAGUUACUGGGAAAUGCUUUUAUCUUGCAGGCUAAUUUUACAUUUACUUUUUCAAUAAUGAGAUGACUAUGUACAGAGUGUCAAGUUUUUUGCCUUGGCAUUACUGCCGCUGUGUACAGAUGGUUACUGAAAGAAGAAGGAUUCAAGCAGCAUACCUUCACUUGACAGAUGCUUUAACCGCAAGAACUGAUGUUAUUUUCUUUUGGUUUUCUGCAAUGAUGGUAGUUCUCAUUUGAUUCUAGAACCUGCAAAGGAAGGGUAGAGAUUUCCAUUGUUGUUGAAUUGGUGGGAUUGUCACCAAGUUAGUGUUGCAGGUUGUUUCUGUUUUAGAGCAAGAAGCCAAAUCAUGUUGUUCAUUGUAAAUCUUGAAAAACUUGUUUACUGUCGCGUCUAUAUCCAUUAUAAACUUUCAUUCCUAGUGUGGUACUUACCAAUCUUGGUUCGCCCUUCCAUUGCAGCAG